Molecule: small nuclear RNA, 109 nt
Filed under: Carlito syrichta (Philippine tarsier)
Lineage: Eukaryota; Metazoa; Chordata; Mammalia; Primates; Tarsiidae
Source: RNAcentral
GUGCUCACUUCGGCAGCACAUAUAUUAAAAAACUGGAAGGACACAGAAAAGAUUAGCAUGGCCCCUGUGCAAGGAUGACACACAAAUUCGUGAAGGCUUCCAUAUUUUU